This is a long non-coding RNA of Peromyscus maniculatus bairdii (prairie deer mouse), 680 nucleotides long. RefSeq lists it as uncharacterized. Lineage: Eukaryota; Metazoa; Chordata; Mammalia; Rodentia; Cricetidae. The record is from RefSeq and is a predicted model, not a curated record.
CUUUGGAACACUGGUUAUUUGGAUGACCCAGGAGAAUAUAUAUCUGCAUAAACAGUGCUUGAAUAAGUUUGCUCCUAUUGUUCCAGUGACCAGAGAUCUCACUCUGUCUUUUGAUCUCACUGCUUUAAGAUAUUGGAAAAUAUUUGGACUAAUGAAUCUUCCAUGUGUGAUCCCUUUACCUAUGUUUGUUCAUCAAUUACAUAUGGGCAAUGACAGGCUUUUUCACUUAUUCUUGAGCUCUCUAUGUAGAAAAGUCUUUUGUUUUUUAAACUCUUGCCCAACCACAGAAAGUCUCCACCAGAACCACUGAAGCAGAGUCACACUCAAAGGUAAAGGUGGCUUAGUGUAGCUGAUAAAGGGAGAGAAUCCAAAUAAGAUACCAAAGAAAGGAAGAGCUUUGGAAAGUCACAGAGAAUGUGACAGGAUGCCUGAAAAGUUCAGCGAUGAAGAUGGAUCGCCAUUGAUUAGAAGCAAGUGAACAUUGCUACAGAUGCACAGAUCCCUGGUAGGGGAAAGAAGCAGAAGCCACUUCCUAAAGGUAAACCAGGAAUAUUUUGAUGCAUCCCCUUCAGUAGAGAGCCAAGAGAUGAGAAGUCCCUGAGUUUCUCCUUGUCCUCACCUGCAAAGCUGUCUCCUCUCUCAGCCUCUACAGAAGUCAGCUGGAUGAGACUUACCCUCAG